This 426-nucleotide ribosomal RNA is filed under the name uncultured bacterium. RNAcentral's name for it is "bacterial SSU rRNA". It matches the Rfam family "Bacterial small subunit ribosomal RNA", at positions 917 to 1344 of the family's 1533-position model. The record is from RNAcentral.
GGGCCCGCACAAGCGGUGGAGUAUGUGGUUUAAUUCGAUGCAACGCGAAGAACCUUACCAGGGUUUGACAUCCUGCGAAUCUCUUGGAAACAGGAGAGUGCCUUCGGGAACGCAGUGACAGGUGGUGCAUGGCUGUCGUCAGCUCGUGUCGUGAGAUGUUGGGUUAAGUCCCGCAACGAGCGCAACCCUCACUUUUAGUUGCCAUCAUUAAGUUGGGCACUCUGAAAGAACUGCCAGUGAUAAGCUGGAGGAAGGUGUGGAUGACGUCAAGUCAUCAUGCCCCUUACAUCCUGGGCUACACACGUACUACAAUGCUACGGACAAAGGGCAGCAAGUUCGCGAGGACAAGCAAAUCCCAUAAACCGUGGCUCAGUUCAGAUCGUAGGCUGCAACUCGCCUACGUGAAGGCGGAAUCGCUAGUAAUCG